GUAGGUAACGGCUCACCAAGGCUACGAUCGAUAGGGGGUCUGAGAGGAUGAUCCCCCACACUGGUACUGAGAUACGGACCAGACUCCUACGGGAGGCAGCAGUAGGGAAUAUUGGUCAAUGGGCGCAAGCCUGAACCAGCCAUGCCGCGUGCAGGAAGAAGGCCCUCUGGGUUGUAAACUGCUUUUGAUAGGGAACAAAUGCCACUUGCGAGUGGAGCUGAGUGUACCUAUAGAAUAAGCACCGGCUAACUCCGUG
RNAcentral lists this ribosomal RNA (256 nucleotides) under uncultured bacterium. RNAcentral's name for it is "partial 16S ribosomal RNA". It matches the Rfam family "Bacterial small subunit ribosomal RNA", at positions 252 to 507 of the family's 1533-position model. The record is from RNAcentral.